CUGUGAAGGAAAGGUGAAAAGGACCCCGGGAGGGGAGUGAAAGAGAACCUGAAACCCUGUGUUUACAAGCUGUGGAAGUUCUUUAAAUGAACAACCGCGUACUUUUUGUAGAACGGUCCGGCGAGUUGCGGAUACUGGCAAGGUUAAGCACUUAAGGUGCGGAGCCGAAGGGAUACCAAGUCUUAACAGGGCGUUAAGUCAGUAUACGCAGACCCGAAACCGGGUGAUCUAUCCAUGUCCAGGUUGAAGUUGUCGUAAAAGACAAUGGAGGACCGAAGCCACAUCCGUUGAAAAGGGUGGGCAUGAGGUGUGGAUAGGGGAGAAAUUCCAAUCGAACCCGGAGAUAGCUGGUUCUCCUCGAAAUAGCUUUAGGGCUAGCCUCGAUUUAGUCUUAUGGAGGUAGAGCACUGAAUUUCCGCGGGGGCGUCAAAGCUUACCAAAGAAUAUCAAACUCCGAAUGCCAUGUAGAUGAUGAUCGGGAGUCAGACUGCACGAGAUAAGUUGGGCAGUCAAAAGGGAAAGAGCCCAGACCACCGGCUAAGGUCCCAAAGUGCGUGUUAAGUGGAAAAGGAUGUGGGAAUUCGAAGACAACUAGGAUGUUGGCUCAGAAGCAGCCAUACAUUCAAAGAGUGCGUAACAGCUCACUAGUCGAGAGUUCCUGCGCCGAAAAUGUCCGGGGCUGAAACACGACACCGAAGCCGUGGACUCGCAAUGCGAGUGGUAGAGGAGCAUUCUUAAAACCGACGAAGCUGUACCGUAAGGAGCAGUGGAGGGAUAAGAAGAGAGAAUGCCGGAAUGAGUAGCGAGAGAAAGGUGGGAAUCCUUUCGGCCGAAUAUCUAAGGUUUCCAGAGUAAAGCUGAUCUGCUCUGGGUAAGUCGGGGCCUAAGCACAGGUCGCAAGACGUAAGCGAUGGAUAACAGGUUUAGAUUCCUGUACCACGCAUUAUCAGAACUGUAGGGACGCAUGUGGAAAGCACGAGCCGGGAAUGGAAAGACCGGUACAAGCGGGGUAGGUGUACAAUAGGCAAAUCCGUUGUAUAAUCCGAAGACGUGAUGUGGAGCGAAAUAAAGUAGUGAAGCGUGUGAGCCAUGUGCCGAGAAAAGCUGCUAUUGUGUAAUGCGUGCCCGUACCGUAAACCGACACAGGUGGAUGAGGAGAGAAUCCUAAGGCCGACGGAAGAAGCAUUGUUAAGGAAUUCGGCAAAAUGACCCCGUAACUUCGGGAGAAGGGGUGCCUGCGAGAGCAGGCCGCAGAGAAUAGGCUCAAGCAACUGUUUAGCAAAAACACAGGUCUAUGCGAAACCGAAAGGUGAAGUAUAUGGGCUGACGCCUGCCCGGUGCUGGAAGGUUAAGAGGAGAGGUUAGCGCAAGCGAAGCUUUGAAUUUAAGCCCCAGUAAACGGCGGCCGUAACUAUAACGGUCCUAAGGUAGCGAAAUUCCUUGUCGGGUAAGUUCCGACCCGCACGAAAGGCGUAAUGAUUUGAGCACUGUCUCGACAAUGCAUCCGGUGAAAUUGAAGUACCAGUGAAGAUGCUGGUUACCCGCGCCAGGACGGAAAGACCCCAUGGAGCUUUACUCCAGUUUGAUACUGGGAUUCGGUACUGCAUGUACAGGAUAGGUGGGAGACGAAGAAGGAUGGACGCCAGUCUGUCCGGAGUCGCUGUUGGGAUACCACCCCUGUAGUACUGGGUUUCUAACCAGUUGCCAUGAACUGGCAAUGGGACAAUGUCAGGCGGGGAGUUUGACUGGGGCGGUCGCCUCCGAAAGGGUAUCGGAGGCGCUCAAAGGUUCCCUCAGAAUGGUUGGAAACCAUUUGAAGAGUGCAAAGGCAGAAGGGAGCUUGACUGCGACACCGACGGGUGGAGCAGGUACGAAAGUAGGACUUAGUGAUCCGGUGGUAUAAAGUGGGAUUGCCAUCGCUCAACGGAUAAAAGCUACCCUGGGGAUAACAGGCUUAUCACUCCCAAGAGUUCACAUCGACGGAGUGGUUUGGCACCUCGAUGUCGGCUCAUCGCAUCCUGGGGCUGUAGCAGGUCCCAAGGGUUGGGCUGUUCGCCCAUUAAAGCGGUACGCGAGCUGGGUUCAGAACGUCGUGAGACAGUUCGGUCCCUAUCCGGCGCGGGCGGAGGAUAUUUGAGAGGAGCUGUCCUUAGUACGAGAGGACCGGGAUGGACGGACCACUGGUGUAUCUGUUGUCGACCAACGGCAUGGCAGAGUAGCCAAGUCUGGAAGGGAUAAACGCUGAAGGCAUCUAAGCGUGAAGCCCCCCUCAAGAUGAGAUAUCCCUCCUUCGGGAGUAAGACCCCUUGAAGACUACAAGGUAGAUAGGGCAGAGGUGGAAGCAUGGCAACAUGUGGAGCUGACUGUUACUAAUAGGUCGAGGGCUUAAUCU
RNAcentral lists this ribosomal RNA (2392 nucleotides) under human gut metagenome. Its description in RNAcentral is "bacterial LSU rRNA". It matches the Rfam family "Bacterial large subunit ribosomal RNA", at positions 501 to 2925 of the family's 2925-position model. The record is from RNAcentral.